Molecule: long non-coding RNA, 702 nt
Organism: Ictalurus punctatus (channel catfish)
Lineage: Eukaryota; Metazoa; Chordata; Actinopteri; Siluriformes; Ictaluridae
Source: Ensembl
GGGAUUAACACUGAAGAGGAAUCUGAAAGGCUUCACAGACCUCACCAAUCCCCAGCAGCACACAGACGCAGCCAUCAACAUUGGCAUGGAAGAGCUCAAAGCCAGGUUUGGUGGUUUACUGAAGGAUGAAGGUGCCCAGACCCCAGUGGAGUCUUUCAGAGUGCUAAAUACUGACACAUGGCCAGAGGACCAGGCCAGCCUUCUCUCUUUUGGUGAGGUGGCAGACCUGAUCAGUGUGCAACAUGGUUGCAAUGCAGGAUGAGUGGCAGGGGCUGAAAAUCCUGAUCAGCCACAAUUUCAAGGACAAGACCUACAUUGGCCUGACCUACAGUGACCAUGUUGACAAAGGACCCCUACAGGAUAGAUUACAAGAACAUACUGGAAUUGGUGUAGAUUACGCUGAUGCUGCCCAUUUAAGCCGCUCAAUGUGAGCGAGGGAUCUCUACGCAGAACCGCAUUAAGAAUUCAGCAAGAAGCUCUCUUUGGGUCUCCACCACCGAAGACCUGAUGAGGAUCAGCCUGGAGGGGCCUUCUGUCGAGGAGUUUGAUCCUACUCCUGUCGUGGACUGCUCGCUGACCUUUAAGCCUUCCAGACGGCCAGCAUACAAAAGCUGGACAAACGAUAUCCUUUGCAUCUAGGCCAAUGUGUGAUUUUGCAUGAGUAGUAUGUAUGAAAUAAAUCAUUUGUUUAAUAAACUUUUU